UAACUCUCUGUCCAGGCACUCAGUGCCCGACCUGCAAGUGGGGACGGAAUUCUCGUCCAGGACAGUCAGGCUAAGAAAUUCAAAUGCUUUGGACAGACUCACCGACUGCCCGGCUGAGAGAAUCUGUGAGGUCUACCUGCCUAGCAAUUUGCCUUUGCACGGUCCUCCUGUGAGGAGUGAGGACACACAGAUGAAGUCUCGCUCUGUUGCCCAGGCUGGAGUGCAGUGGUACAAUCUCAGCUCACUGCAACCUCUGCCUCUUGGGUUCAAGUGAUUCUCCAGCUUCAGCCUCCCAAGUAGCUGGGACUACAGGCACAUGCCACCAUGCCCCUCUAAUUUUUGGAUUUUUAGUAGAGAUGGGGUUUCACCAUGUUGGCCAGGCUGGUCUCGAACUCCUGACCUCAAGUGAUCUACCUGCCUUGGCCUCCCAAAGUGCUGAGAUUACAGAUGUGAGCCACUGUGCCUAGUUGUUUUCUUUCUUUUUUUUUUUUUUAAAACGUGUGCAUUGUGCAUUGUUUCCCGGUUUAUCGUACUAAAAGAAGAAACUAUUUUGUGUUCUAAUAAUUUAUCACUGUGCAGGUAGUUUGGCUUUUGGUAAAAGACAACCUCUGUUUCCAGUUUGUAACUGAUGUAUCAUUCUCCUUGUUUUCCCUGCCCUUAAUUUAAUGUGGUUACGCUUCUGUUUUCUUUCCUUAAAUUCACUUGCAGCUUUUCUCCCCACUCUCUCUCUUAAUGUCACAAGUUUUGCGUGAACCAUUCCCUUUGCCUCUCCCUUGACUUCUGCUCUGCCUGCUACAAUCUUUGGGGUUUACAGCCCACUAAGCAGUCCCACUGGCUAUGCUGGAGAAAGCAAGCAUCUUUUUCAUGCCUAUAGGUGGCAUGUACAGACUGCACCCUGCAGAGGAGCUGGGAGGCAAAGCUUAUUUCUUGGAAGUUUUCAGUCACUUGCAAGGAGCAGCUAUGGACACAGUGAAGCGCAGAGGUCCAAAGAGAAAUUCUGUCAUUCAAGAAGGAAUGAAAUAAAGGCUUAUUAAGCAACUAUCUGUUUAUCUAUAUAUACCGACACUGUCAGUUGUAUACAAUGCUCUUAAGUAAUUGCAAAUCAUAAUUGUAAAACUUUUUCUUUUUUCUGUUUGGCUUCAGAUAUUUUCUUUUCCAUGGGCAGA
This 1166-nucleotide long non-coding RNA is filed under the name Homo sapiens (human). RNAcentral's name for it is "HSALNT0353089". Lineage: Eukaryota; Metazoa; Chordata; Mammalia; Primates; Hominidae. The record is from RNAcentral.